Non-coding RNA from Stegodyphus mimosarum, 73 nucleotides. Lineage: Eukaryota; Metazoa; Arthropoda; Arachnida; Araneae; Eresidae. The record is from Rfam.
GCCUUCGUGGUGUAAUGGUCAGCACACUAGGCGCGUAUUCGAGAGCACCGAGGUUCGAGUCCCGGCGAGGGCA